AGUGAACGCUGGCGGUAGGCCUAACACAUGCAAGUCGAACGGCAGCACAGUAAGAGCUUGCUCUUACGGGUGGCGAGUGGCGGACGGGUGAGGAAUACAUCGGAAUCUACUUUUUCGUGGGGGAUAACGUCGGGAACCUUACGCUAAUACCGCAUACGACCUACGGGUGAAAGCAGGGGAUCUUCGGACCUUGCGCGAUUGAAUGAGCCGAUGUCGGAUUAGCUAGUUGGCGGGGUACCGGCCCACCAAGGCGACGAUCCGUAGCUGGUCUGAGAGGAUGAACAGCCACACUGGAACUGAGACACGGUCCAGACUCCGACGGGAGGCAGCGGUGGGGAAUAUUGGACGAUGGGCGCAAGCCUGAUCCAGCCAUACCGGGUGGGUGAAGAAGGCCUUCGGGUUGUAUAGCCCUUUUGUUGUGAAAGAAAAGCAGCAGGUUAAUACCCCGUUGUUCUGACGGUACCCAAAUAAUAAGCACCGGCUAACUUCGUG
RNAcentral lists this ribosomal RNA (492 nucleotides) under uncultured bacterium. Its description in RNAcentral is "partial 16S ribosomal RNA". It matches the Rfam family "Bacterial small subunit ribosomal RNA", at positions 29 to 507 of the family's 1533-position model. The record is from RNAcentral.